GCCCCGGUAGACCAAUUGGCAGAGUCCGCGGUCUCAAAAGCCGUGCAGUGUGGGUUCGAGUCCCACCCGGGGCA
Molecule: transfer RNA, 74 nt
Filed under: Nocardiopsaceae bacterium
Lineage: Bacteria; Bacillati; Actinomycetota; Actinomycetes; Streptosporangiales; Nocardiopsidaceae
Also listed under: 1 other name
Description: tRNA-Leu
Rfam family: tRNA
About the family: Transfer RNA (tRNA) molecules are approximately 80 nucleotides in length. Their secondary structure includes four short double-helical elements and three loops (D, anti-codon, and T loops).
Source: RNAcentral